CAGGAAGCGCGGAAGGGGCGUGGCGCAGAGUGGGGCGGGGCUUUGGAGGGGAAGCACUAAAAGUGCUGGGGCCAGGCUUUCGGCGCCGAAAGGGUGGCGUUUAUAUUUAGGCCCUUCGCUAAGUCUACAUUGAAGCAGUUUCCAAAUGGAAAGGAAGGAACAAAAGAGUGGAAAAAAGACAAGGAAAAUCAUAACUUAAAAAAAUUAUACUUUAAAGAAGAUUUCAACCUCAGGAUACAACGUUCUCUAGAUAACCAAUAUCAUCUUCUUGAGCUCUUUGGAAAUGAUGAUCAUGGAUGAGGAGAGGCAAUGGUGACACCGAAUACUACGGAUUGCAAAGUCAUCCUGCUAGCCUGGCUUCAAAGACAGCUCUGGAGCACAGUAGUCUAUCACUAGUGGACUGUUUGUGGGAGAAAUUUGUGUCUUUUUCUUUAGGCCCCUGCAUCCCUGGAGUCUCUUCGGUCCCAGAAACACAGAGACACUUUGAUGAAGCAGAUCCUAGAGACAAGAUUCAAGAGUCAGCAACCCCUCAGUUACAGCUGGAUUGUGAUCAACAAGCACAUGGUCUAUUGCUCAAGCUUCCUGGUCGUUUUGACCAUUUCGCAAGCCAAUGGUGUUUUUGUUUUCAAGUGUAAAACACAUGAAAGGAGCUGGAGUUUUCCUCGCUCCUCACGGCUCGAGUGCCUUUUCUGCAUGCCACCUUGUGAGCCAUUUGGGCAUACUGGCUUAUGUUAUCACAGCAGUUCAACAUCUAGUCAAUUAAAUGCGAGGAAACCCAGUCGUUAGGAGAUGGGGAAUGUACAACAAUAAACAAGUGGUUCUGUUGAUUGCCUUGGCUGAAUUGAUUAAAUGCCUCAGAGACGCAGUAGAAACUCUUCAGUUUGGUUGACAGCUUUACAUUUUUGCUUUCCAGUAAUUACAGUGUCUAUUGAGCCAGUCCCUCCAAAAGAAUACUGUGAAAUGCUCUGAAUUGUUGCCUCAUUUACAGUAUGUCAUUAUCUUUAUUAUAUUUACCUGAAAUAAAGGAUUACCCAAAACAAAAUUCGAGUGCAUCCAAGACAGUGGGUGGCCUAUUCCCUGCCAAAGAUCACCUAGAGGAGUUGAAUGUGCACUCUAUAAGUAUUUCUGUGUCUUUGAUACCAUCCAAACAUGAUAUACAGUAUCAGCCCACAGAUUCACAUGUGCUUCAUUCCAAAUUGCUUUAGGCAUUGCCUCUUCUCACAGCUGCUUAUGGCAGUGAACCUCAAGAAAACGUCAAGGCCCUUCACGCUGUUUCAGACAUAGGGAGCCAGCCAUCUAUCCACCUGCAACAUGCAUCUCAUGACUGGCAGUGCUGAGCCUGUGCCCCUGCAACAUCCCAAUGUCGCACAUCAUUGGCCAUGACCCCAGUGACUGUCCGUCCCCUGGAACCCAUCACCCCUGGUCCAACUGCGGCCACAGUUGCCAUGGCUGUACCCAGCCGAUGGCCAAGCAUGAAGAAGUGCUUCUGGGAAACUCUGAUGCCUUGGUGUGGUCUGGUGUGGGGGCCCCUAAUCACCAAGGUGUCAGUAUCAGACAGUGGGGCCUCUGGGGGCUGAUUACUUAAGGAGAGCUCCUCACUCAUGAACGGAUCAGGGGCCUGUAAAAAGGUUGUGCAGGAGUGAGUUGUCUCUUCUACCACGUGAGGACGCAGUGAGAGGCCUACACCAGACAUCCAGUGCUGGUCCCUUCAUUUUGGACUUCAAAGCCCCCUGGACUAUAAGGAAAUAAAUGUUUGUUUCAUAUAAAUUACCCAGCCUGAAAUAUGCUGUCACUAGCAGCACAAAUGGACCAAGACUGUCCUUUCGUGAAUAUGUUGACUUCAGGACGGCCCAAAGGCCCGGCUCCCACAUGGGCCACUUUCUGGUUUUAGUCUGGAGACUCUUUCUGCCUGCUCCGACUCUUUCCCCUUCUCUCUUCAGUAUUUCCCGAAUAAAUCUCCUGUGCUUCCAAUCUUAGCGCCUCCUUCUCGGGAGACUCAAACGAACACAAUAACUAAACAUCACACAAAGCAAAAUCAAAAAAACCUAUGACUUAUGAGUGAAAUUUAAGUAAUAGAGAAAAUGAUACUAUAAGUAAAACUAAGAAAGAAAUCUGAAAGUUUAAUAGCUUUUUUCCCCCAGUGUCACACUUUGAAGUGUAAAACCACUUGCUGUGUCUGAAUGAUUUAUCCUUUAUACUUGGCAUGUCAAAAAUCCAAGGUAACACAGGUCUAUGAUUAAAAAUCGACUCAAAUAUUGAUGGAAUAGCUGGGGAUUUAGUUCAGCGGUUCGGUGGCCUGCCUUGCAAGCACAAGGACCCGAGUUCAAUCCCCGGUACCAAAACAAACAAACAAACAAACAAAAAAUUGAUGGAAUCAUUGAAUACUCUUUUAUGUAAAAAUGUCUAAUCUUUGAUCACUCUUACCAGCAUAUUUUAGAAUAUCUCUUUUGCUUCUUUUUUUGAUUAGGAAAUCUUUAUGGUAGCU
Molecule: long non-coding RNA, 2485 nt
Filed under: Fukomys damarensis (Damara mole-rat)
Lineage: Eukaryota; Metazoa; Chordata; Mammalia; Rodentia; Bathyergidae
Description: lncRNA (ENSFDAG00000033184.1)
Source: RNAcentral